This 1398-nucleotide ribosomal RNA is filed under the name uncultured bacterium. Its description in RNAcentral is "16S ribosomal RNA". It matches the Rfam family "Bacterial small subunit ribosomal RNA". The record is from RNAcentral.
AGAGUUUGAUCCUGGCUCAGGAUGAACGCUAGCUACAGGCUUAACACAUGCAAGUCGAGGGGCAGCAUGGUCUUAGCUUGCUAAGGCCGAUGGCGACCGGCGCACGGGUGAGUAACACGUAUCCAACCUGCCGUCUACUCUUGGACAGCCUUCUGAAAGGAAGAUUAAUACAAGAUGGCAUCAUGAGUCCGCAUGUUCACAUGAUUAAAGGUAUUCCGGUAGACGAUGGGGAUGCGUUCCAUUAGAUAGUAGGCGGGGUAACGGCCCACCUAGUCUUCGAUGGAUAGGGGUUCUGAGAGGAAGGUCCCCCACAUUGGAACUGAGACACGGUCCAAACUCCUACGGGAGGCAGCAGUGAGGAAUAUUGGUCAAUGGACGAGAGUCUGAACCAGCCAAGUAGCGUGAAGGAUGACUGCCCUAUGGGUUGUAAACUUCUUUUAUACGGGAAUAAAGUGAGGCACGAGUGCCUUUUUGUAUGUACCGUAUGAAUAAGGAUCGGCUAACUCCGUGCCAGCAGCCGCGGUAAUACGGAGGAUCCGAGCGUUAUCCGGAUUUAUUGGGUUUAAAGGGAGCGUAGGCGGACGCUUAAGUCAGUUGUGAAAGUUUGCGGCUCAACCGUAAAAUUGCAGUUGAUACUGGGUGUCUUGAGUACAGUAGAGGCAGGCGGAAUUCGUGGUGUAGCGGUGAAAUGCUUAGAUAUCACGAAGAACUCCGAUUGCGAAGGCAGCCUGCUGGACUGUAACUGACGCUGAUGCUCGAAAGUGUGGGUAUCAAACAGGAUUAGAUACCCUGGUAGUCCACACAGUAAACGCUGAAUACUCGCUGUUUGCGAUAUACAUAAGCCGGCAAGCCGAAAGCGUUAAGUAUUCCACCUGGGGGAGUACGCCGGCAACGGUGAAACUCAAAGGAAUUGACGGGGGCCCGCACAAGCGGAGGAACAUGUGGUUUUAAUUCGAUGAUACGCGAGGAACCUUACCCGGGCUUGAAUUGCAACUGAAUGAUGUGGAGACAUGUCAGCCGCAAGGCAGUUGUGAAGGUGCUGCAUGGUUGUCGUCAGCUCGUGCCGUGAGGUGUCGGCUUAAGUGCCAUAACGAGCGCAACCCUUAUCGAUAGUUACCAUCAGGUUAUGCUGGGGACUCUGUCGAGACUGCCGUCGUAAGAUGUGAGGAAGGUGGGGAUGACGUCAAAUCAGCACGGCCCUUACGUCCGGGGCUACACACGUGUUACAAUGGGGGGUACAGAAGGCAGCUACACGGCGACGUGAUGCUAAUCCCGAAAGCCUCUCUCAGUUCGGAUUGGAGUCUGCAACCCGACUCCAUGAAGCUGGAUUCGCUAGUAAUCGCGCAUCAGCCACGGCGCGGUGAAUACGUUCCCGGGCCUUGCACUCACCGCCCGUCA